GACGAACCGUGCAAACGUUGUUCGGAAUCACUGGGCUUAAAGGGCGCGUAGGCGGCCGACCAAGUCCGGGGUGAAAUCUUUCGGCUUAACCGGAAAAGGGCCUUGGAUACUGGUUUGCUAGAGGGAGGUAGGGGUCUGUGGAACUUCUGGUGGAGCGGUGAAAUGCGUUGAUAUCAGAAGGAACGCCGGUGGCGAAAGCGACGGACUGGAUCUCUUCUGACGCUGAUGCGCGAAAGCCAGGGGAGCAAACGGG
RNAcentral lists this ribosomal RNA (253 nucleotides) under uncultured bacterium. RNAcentral's name for it is "partial 16S ribosomal RNA". It matches the Rfam family "Bacterial small subunit ribosomal RNA", at positions 524 to 776 of the family's 1533-position model. The record is from RNAcentral.